Molecule: ribosomal RNA, 481 nt
Filed under: uncultured bacterium
Lineage: Bacteria
Description: bacterial SSU rRNA
Rfam family: Bacterial small subunit ribosomal RNA
Source: RNAcentral
UGCAAGUCGCACGAGAAUUCUUCUGCUUGCAGAAGAUAGUAAAGUGGCGCACGGGUGAGUAAUGCGUGGGCAAUCUUCCCUUGAAUCGGGGAUAACAUCGCGAAAGCUUUGCGGUAAUACCGGAUGACAUCCAUUUGUCUGCGGGCGAAUGGAUCAAAGGUGGCCUCUACAUGUAAGCUACUGUUUGAGGAUGAGCCUGCGUACCAUUAGCUAGUUGGUGGGGUAACGGCCCACCAAGGCGACGAUGGUUAGCUGGUCUGAGAGGAUGAUCAGCCACACUGGAACUGACACACGGUCCAGACUCCUACGGGAGGCAGCAGUGAGGAAUUUUGCGCAAUGGGGGAAACCCUGACGCAGCAACGCCGCGUGAGUGAUGAAGGCCUUCGGGUCGUAAAGCUCUGUCAAGUGGGAAGAACCUGCAGAAAGCUAACAUCUUUUUGCACUGACGGUACCACUGAAGGAAGCACCGGCUAACUCCGUG